Molecule: long non-coding RNA, 483 nt
Filed under: Bos taurus (domestic cattle)
Lineage: Eukaryota; Metazoa; Chordata; Mammalia; Artiodactyla; Bovidae
Description: long non-coding RNA NONBTAT018840
Source: RNAcentral
AAAUGACUACGGGGAGCUCAGGACAUUAUGGCAGCCCUGAGAAGAACUUGUAGUCCUUUAAACUAGGAUUAGCUUUUUUGCUUUUUGUAUUUUAGCUACACAUACAAAUAGGAAUGCGUUUCCUGGGACAUUGUGUCUUGCUGAGAGAGCAAGUACCUGUGCAGAGGUGUAGAGGUGUGUGAAAGCAACUGAGCAUGCUCAGGCUAGGCUGGAGUCAGGACCAGGGAGGCAAAGAGUGAGCGAUGCGCCUGGAAAGGAAGGAGUGAGGGGGUCCCCAACCAGCAGCCCAGUCUGGCCUACAUCUGGAGCAUGUGGACAAAGUCCCAGACCUAUCCUUCUUUGAUCAGGCCUGUGGCUUCAGGAGGGCUUGGACCUGAGGCGCACACCCCAGCAUAGCCACAGAUCCUAUCCUCUCGGUCCUUUUCUGCUUAGCUGACCCUGUCAGGGUCUCUCCAAACUCACAUGGUCCCUCAGGAGGCUAUG